This 497-nucleotide ribosomal RNA is filed under the name uncultured bacterium. Its description in RNAcentral is "partial 16S ribosomal RNA". It matches the Rfam family "Bacterial small subunit ribosomal RNA", at positions 28 to 507 of the family's 1533-position model. The record is from RNAcentral.
GAUGAACGCUGGCGGCGUGCCUAAUACAUGCAAGUCGAGCGAACAGACGAGGAGCUUGCUCCUCUGACGUUAGCGGCGGACGGGUGAGUAACACGUGGAUAACCUACCUAUAAGACUGGGAUAACUUCGGGAAACCGGAGCUAAUACCGUAUAAUAUAUUGAACCGCAUGGUUCAAUAGUGAAAGACGGUUGUGCUGUCACUUAUAGAUGGAUCCGCGCCGCAUUAGCUAGUUGGUAAGGUAACGGCUUACCAAGGCAACGAUGCGUAACCGACCUGAGAGGGUGAUCGGCCACACUGGAACUGAGACACGGUCCAGACGCCUACGGGAGGCAGCAGUAGGGAAUCUUCCGCAAUGGGCGAAAGCUUGACGGAGCAACGCCGCGUGAGUGAUGAAGGUCUUCGGAUCGUAAAACUCUGUUAUUAGGGAAGAACAAAUGUGUAAGUAACUAUGCACGUCUUGACGGUACCUAAUCAGAAAGCCACGGCUAACUACGUG